AGAGUUUGAUCCUGGCUCAGAAUGAACGUUGGCGGCGUGGAUUAGGCAUGCAAGUCGUACGCACAGCUUCGGCUGUGAGUGGCGCAAGGGUGAGUAAUGCGAAGGUAACCAACCCUGGAGUUGGGCAGUAACCGCGGGAAACUGCGGGUAAUUCCCAGCGAUGUCGCGAGAUGGCAUCAUCUUGCGACCAAAGGUGUGAUUCCGCUCUAGGACGGGCCUUCGUGGUAUUAGGUAGUUGGUGAGGUAACGGCUCACCAAGCCGACGAUGCCUACCGGGUGUGAGAGCAUGACCCGGCACACUGGAACUGAGACACUGUCCAGACACCUACGGGUGGCUGCAGUCGAGAAUCUUCGGCAAUGGGCGAAAGCCUGACCGAGCGACGCCGCGUGAGGGAAGAAGGCCUUCGGGUUGUAAACCUCUUUCGUAGAGGAGGAAGGGGCCGUGCAGAGCGGUCUUUGACCUAUUCUAGGAAGAAGCUUGGGCUAAGUUCGUG
This 494-nucleotide ribosomal RNA is filed under the name uncultured bacterium. RNAcentral's name for it is "bacterial SSU rRNA". It matches the Rfam family "Bacterial small subunit ribosomal RNA", at positions 8 to 507 of the family's 1533-position model. The record is from RNAcentral.